GUAGACGCGUGGCCAGCGGCUGCGGGAAUCUGGAGUGUGCGAGCGUGAAGGGGAGUGACUGGUCGGGAAGGGGUGGCGGUGAGACACGCAAGUGAGGCGUGAAAUGCCCGGGCUUAAACUGGGAAUGGCGCUGUAAACUACGGUGCUGGAGUAUGGCAGAGGGAGGUGGAAUUCCACGUGUAGCGGUGAAAUGCGUAGAGAUGUGGAGGAACACCGAUGGCGAAGGCAGCCUCCUGGGCCAAUACUGACGCUCAUGCACGAAAGCGUGGGGAGCAAACAGGAUUAGAUACCCGAGUAGUC
RNAcentral lists this ribosomal RNA (300 nucleotides) under uncultured Paenibacillus sp. RNAcentral describes it as "bacterial SSU rRNA". It matches the Rfam family "Bacterial small subunit ribosomal RNA", at positions 496 to 795 of the family's 1533-position model. Lineage: Bacteria; Bacillati; Bacillota; Bacilli; Caryophanales; Paenibacillaceae. The record is from RNAcentral.